RNAcentral lists this small nucleolar RNA (165 nucleotides) under Habropoda laboriosa. RNAcentral's name for it is "Small nucleolar RNA SNORA53". It matches the Rfam family "Small nucleolar RNA SNORA53". Rfam says of the family: The snoRNA ACA53 belongs to the H/ACA family of pseudouridylation guide snoRNAs. The record is from Rfam by way of RNAcentral. Lineage: Eukaryota; Metazoa; Arthropoda; Insecta; Hymenoptera; Apidae.
CGCACGCUCCUUAGAUCCAUCUCUGUUUAUACUAGGAGAUGCUUGAGUCAUAAGUGUGCUAGAUUACGCAAUACCUUCUUUUUGGUCUUUUCAAACAGUGUUAUAAAUUUGCUUUACUGCUGAAUUUGUACGAAUCGCUGCUUAUACGAUCAACGAGAGGACAUA